CUCAUAGCGUAUAUUUAAGUUGUUGCAGUUAAAAAGCUCGUAGUUGGAUUUCGGGCCCAGGCGGCCGGUCCGCCGUUUCGGUGUGCACUGGUCGGCUCGGUCUUUCUGCCGGGGACGCGCUCCGUCUUGACUGCCGGACGCGGAGUCGGCGACGUUACUUUGAAAAAAUUAGAGUGUUCAAAGCAGGCUUACGCUCUGAAUACUAUAGCAUGGAAUAACACGAUAGGACUCCGAGCCUAUUUUGUUGGUCUUCGGGACCGGAGUAAUGAUUAAGAGGGACAGUUGGGGGCAUUCGUAUUACGGUGUCAGAGGUGAAAUUCUUGGAUUUCCGUAAGACGAACUUCUGCGAAAGCAUUUGCCAAGGAUGUUUUCAUUAAUCAAGAACGAAAGUUGGGGGCUCGAAGAUGAUCAGAUACCGUCGUAGUCUCAACCAUAAACGAUGCCGACUAGGGAUUGGAGGAUGUUAAUUCGAUGACUUCUCCAGCACCUUAAGAGAAAUCAAAGUUUUUGGGUUCCGGGGGGAGUAUGGUCGCAAGGCCGAAACUUAAAGGAAUUGACGGAAGGGCACCACCAGGCGUGGAGCCUGCGGCUUAAUUUGACUCAACACGGGGAAACUUACCAGGUCCAGACAUAGUAAGGAUUGACAGAUUGAGAGCUCUUUCUUGAUUCUAUGGGUGGUGGUGCAUG
This 687-nucleotide ribosomal RNA is filed under the name uncultured eukaryote. RNAcentral describes it as "SSU rRNA". It matches the Rfam family "Eukaryotic small subunit ribosomal RNA", at positions 591 to 1286 of the family's 1831-position model. The record is from RNAcentral.